Molecule: ribosomal RNA, 605 nt
Filed under: fungal sp. 222a
Lineage: Eukaryota; Fungi
Description: eukaryotic LSU rRNA
Rfam family: 5.8S ribosomal RNA (bases 243-396)
Source: RNAcentral
CUUGGUCCAUUUAGAGGAAGUAAAAGUCGUAACAAGGUUUCCGUAGGUGAACCUGCGGAAGGAUCAUUACAGUAGUCACCCGGGUUGCCGCAAGGCCUCUCGGGUAACCUACCACCCUUUGUUUAUUACACUUUGUUGCUUUGGCAGGCCUGCCUUCGGGCUGCUGGCUCCGGCCGGCGAGCGCUUGCCAGAGGAUCUAAACUCUGUUUGUCUAUACUGUCUGAGUACUAUAUAAUAGUUAAAACUUUCAACAACGGAUCUCUUGGUUCUGGCAUCGAUGAAGAACGCAGCGAAAUGCGAUAAGUAAUGUGAAUUGCAGAAUUCAGUGAAUCAUCGAAUCUUUGAACGCACAUUGCGCCCCCUGGUAUUCCGGGGGGCAUGCCUGUCCGAGCGUCAUUACAACCCUCAAGCUCUGCUUGGUGUUGGGCCCCGCCGCCCCGGCGGGCCCUAAAGUCAGUGGCGGUGCCAUCCGGCUCCGAGCGUAGUAAUUCUUCUCGCUCUGGAGGUCCGGUUGUGUGCUUGCCAUCAACCCCCAAUUUUUUUCAGGUUGACCUCGGAUCAGGUAGGGAUMCMCGCUGAACUUAAGCAUAUCAAAANNCGGAGGA